UUUUUUUUUUGUCGUUAUCACCAGACUUCAUGUAAUCACAGCUCUCCACCCCUUCAUCCUAACAUUCAGACAUGGUGCAGAGUAUAGAUGUGAAGUAUGAGUGCCAUAAGCUAUAUGUGGUCUACUCUCUUGAAUUCUUCCUGUUCAUUAUUGGUAUGUGUCAGCUUUCAAAACAUCCUUCUCAGUAUCUCAGCCCAGUUCCCUAAAAGCUGAGGCUUGGAGGGCCCAUACAUACUCCACAGCUUCUUUUAUUAAAUAUACAUCUACUCAUGUAUUUAUUUAUUAGCUCUCAUUUAUUCAGGACCUCUUGUGCAGCACUAUUCAAGUUACUAGUGAUACAGAAUUGAAUAAGCUCUCGAGAAAGUUACCUGCAUUGUGAUGGUAGACAAAAUAAUCCAAUAAAUAUUACAUACUAUGAAGAAAUGUAAAACAAAUAAGGGAGUAAAGGGUGAGAGGCUUGUUUAUAUCAAUCUUGUCAUCUCUUUUCCAAAUGUGGUUAUAUUCUUGAUAUGUGAACAGAAUUGCUGGCACCCUUGCAACAUUCCAAUUAUGAUUGGAAUGCAGAUGAUGGUUGCUGCAUUGACCAGGUUUGCUCAGUAAUUGAGGGAUCUUCUCAAGCAUAUGAGGCUUGAAUAACACUCAGUUAGGAGCUGGCCAUAGAUUGCAUCAUGAAUGCACUCAACAGUAAUCCUCACUGCAUAUUGAUAUUGUCAUGGAUAUUAGAGGUCAUCCAGCAAGGGUGAAAACUGCUAGCGUUGACUCAUUGUCCCGAAUUGUAACAUCAUAUAUAUAUAUCAAUGCAGUCGUUUAUUGUCAGUAUUGCCAAUUCUUAUUAUCAAAAAUUUCAUACAUUGUUAAUAUGAGAACUAGAUAUAUUAGUUAUUCUUCCAAAGUACAUUAGCUUUAGACUCCAAUGCCUCAUAUUUCAGUGGCUUAUUCUCCCUUAUAAAGAAUAUGAGCUUGACUAGGGUGUAUGAACAUCACCUUCAGAUAUUUUAUUCUAUAUAUGGUACAUUUGCUACUUAUGAUAUUAAUGAUUUUCUAUCCAUUUUUAACUAUUUUUUUGGAGUUCCCUCUGUGGCACAGUAGUUUAAAGAUCUACCAUUGUCUCUGUGGUGGCAUGACUUUGAUCUGUGGCCCGUCACAGUGGAUUAAGGAUCUGGCAUUGCUGCAGCUGUGGCAUAGGUCACACCUGUGGCUCAGAUUUGAUCCCUGGCCUAGGAACAUCCAUGUGCUGUUGGUGCAACCAUAAAAAAAUAAAUAAAAAUAAAUUUAAAAACCUAUUUAUUAAGCACUUUCCUGAACCAGAAAAUACUCUUAAGUGUGAAGGAUCAAGGGGUAACAACACAGACCUUGACUUUUCUCCAUUGGAGUCUAUUAGGAAGGAGAGAGUUAGAUUGAAGGAUGACAAACGUUAUGGAGACAACAAAGAGGCAAAGAGUGAUGUUUCCUGCAUGACUGUGGAAACUGAUCUAUGUUUGGGUCAAGCAAGUCUUCUUGGGACAAAUAAUUUUUACCUUUACUAGAGGAAUGAUUAAAAACAAGUCAGUGUUCAGGAAAGGAAGGUGAGAAUAAGCAAUAUGGAUUAAAUCCAUGUGGUGGACACAUGUUUAUGAUGUUUCAGGAAAUAUAAGACCCAUGUACUUGAAGUGUUGAUAUGAGCACAGCAAGUUGCCUUCCAUAGUGAUGGGGAGGUGAGCUGGAGCCACAUCCGGCAAGGUCUAGCAGGAUGGAUAAAGGAGUUUGGAGCGUUUCCUGGUGGGGGCGGGGGUGGGGGGGUAGUUAUCUUAGGGGGCUAAAGAGGCAACAAGAAGACUAGUGUUUUAAAUAAAUUCUUCUGAUUAUUAAAGAGUAAAGAUUAGACUGGAAGUGAUCCAAGACAACUAGUUAGGUGCCUGGUACAGAAGUCAGUUUAAAGAAUAAGGCAGACAGGACUAGAACAAAGGUAUUGACUUUGUGACUGGCAGUCAGAAUCUAAAGAUAGAAGCUGAAACAGUUAGCAAGAUCCAGCAAUUGAUUGGAUGGGGUUCAUGCAAGAAGGUAUGAGGAUAAAACCCAGAUUCCCAAGGAACUGAAAGGAGCAGGGUGAUCUUGAUGAGAAUUGCUACUGACAAGCCCUGAUGAGUGUAGUUCUCCCUGGAGAACUCCCUGGCUACAGUUCUCUACACAUUUGGGCAUCGCUUCCGAUUUCUCAGCUUUAGUUGUCUUCUUGGGAGGGUUCAGAAAGUCAUUGAAAAUCAAGAGGACUGACUUAGGGUCUUAACCAGAGUGCAGUCACUUAGAAAUUUCUCUUGUGGGGAAUUCAUUUGUUCAGAAAUUUCCACCAAAAAUUUGGGUGACCUUACAGAAAGGAAAGCAUUUCUGAGUUCAAGGGGAAAGCUUAGAAAGUCUGUUAUAGGAUACAGGUAGCGUUGGAAAGAAAGAUGUAGCUCUUGUCAAAUUAAUUAAAUGUAGCUCUCCAGUCCUCAGCUAAUGGAAUAUUCAGUGAAUAUCAGGCUUCACUAUCCCUGGAAAACUUGAAACCCUGCUAAUUGGCCUACCUUCUCCUGCUUUCCUGGUGCAUAUUUCCCCCCCCCCCCCCCAAUCUUUCUCCAAAGAAUAAACUGUUAUUAACACCAAAUAUAUUUCUCUGUUCCUUGCAAGCCAUUUUCUACUUCCUAAUUCUAUACAUUUAAAUAACUUUCAGUGCUUAAAUUCCCAAUUUUUUCCAUUAGUCAAUAGGCCAUAGUUUGCUUUUCACAAAAAAUAAAAACCAAAAACCUGCUGCUGAUGUUUCUCUUGUCCUACUACCGAGGAGCUAAAAGUUAAGCCCAUAGAAGCACCACUAGUUAUUCUCUUCCCUUCUUGGGCAUAUACCCGAAUCCCCUACAUAUUUCUCUGCCUUUUUUGUUUCACUUUUAUGGUUUUCAUUUGUUUGUUGUAAGGCUCUGUUCCUCAAAUGUAUUAUCUGUCUAUCCCACUGAUGGCAUAUAAAACAAUGGCUUAAUGGUAUAGAGACUGCAGAAAGGAGUCAUAAAUAUAAGCAUCUAGUUGUUUAAAUCAUGUAAUAGUGUGAAUGACAGGAAAUUUGUAUGAGUCAGUAUUUUAUUCAAAAUGUAUGUACUUGUUCUCACCUAUCAAGCAUAUAGGUUCUGAAUUGCAGUCACCCUCCACUUUCAGAAGGGUGACAGGGCCUUAAAAUCUCUUCAGGGUACCCUCUUUUGGGGGGGGUCCAUUCAUUCUCUUAAAAGAAAAGGAUCACUUUAAUUAGAUUUAACAUCACAAGUCCUGUCCUGGUCGUAUUUGACCCACUUUUCUCUCAGUCCAGCUCUGUGCUUGUAUAUUUUGUUAUCCAUUCAGAAGGCUCUAAUAGCCCAUGUUCUCAAAAAAAAAAAAAAAAAGUUCAUAUGUCUAGAUUAGAUGAAUCCUUGCCAAUCCAUAUCUAAUGCUUUCUAGCAAUGGCGAACAGACUCCCCUCUAACACAAGAAAAUUCAGAAACUUUUAGAAUUUUUACAUCUUAACUUUGACAAGUUCAUAGUCAACCCAGGUGAAGCAUUUAUCUCAGACUUUGAAGCCAAGGGAUAAAUCUGGGCAUCAGUCAAUGUCUGCAGAAAUGUUGUCAUAAAUGUUCCCUAUGCUGCCCCCCCUUUUUUUCAUUUAUAAGUUAAAGUAUUAUUAAGCAGAUGCUAAGGCCACUUCUAGGACUAAUUUUAUGUAUUUCUGUGAUUUUAUUUAAUUCAUGCAUAUUAAAAGAAAAUAGGGAAUUAAUUGUGACAUCUCCAUAAAUACUUUAAAAUUUUCUUGACUUGAAUUCUCACUUCUAAAACUUUGGCUCACUCUUGAUAAUUGAAAAACACAUGCAACCAAACUAUAUUUACUACUUUUCACUGCUCAAGUCAAAAUUUGGGGGCCUUUCCUUUUCAAUACCCGAGAAUAUUGUGUUAAUAAUACCAUUCAGAAGGAUGUAUUUAAGAGUCCAUAUCAGGAACACAGUAUACAUACAAUGUUUCAUACAAUGUCAAUCAAAAAAGUAGCAUCCAAAAUCUAUUACUGCUGGUAUUGUACACUAAAAUGUGGUUUUAUCAUAAUCACUGGGUAUUAAAAUCUUUACCACCUAAAUCUUAUUUUGAUUCAUUUCCAGACUGGUUCUUUUCAUAAGCAGACUUAUUGUGGAGCUGUUUUAUUUUAUGUACUUGUGCAUAGAGGCCAUUUCAUUGCAUUGCACUUCAAGUAGAGGUAUAGAUUAUUGGUUUGAUUGGCUUUAAUAAAAUAUAUUUUACAAUGAAGAGAAAAUAGAAUACUUUUAAAUUUUCUAAAAUAUUUUUCUUUAGAUAUCCACUGACAAUUUUUAAGUUCUCUGGAUGUUCAACAUGCACAAUAUAUGAUCUGAGUAUUGCAACUGAAGAAAAUAGAACAUAAGGAAAUAUCAGUUCUCUUUUUAGCUGGGGGACAUUUAGAGAUUGAUUAAAAAAGAAAGGAAAACUCAAUCCAGUGCCAACAAGACCUUCAGACAACAAUGUCUCCAAAAGUCAAGUGUCAGCCAGCAAAUAGAAACUGCUCCCCUCCCCCCACCACUGCUUUGUAAUCAGAUCUCACCACAUAAUGAAGGAAACAAUACUAUUAUUACUUGCCUGUGAAGUGUCCGCUUUUGAUUUCUCUUGUAAUUUAUCUUCAAUUGAACUGAUAUUGAUUUCGUGGGGAAAACUGCAUAUUCUCCAAGGAGAUUUUUAAAGGACUAAUCUUAGUUUAUGCCUAAUUUUUUUUUUCCCACUGGCUUAUUCUUUCCAGUGAUUUAUCUACCUAAUAACAUUAUAGAUAAAACCUGCUCUUUCAAUUUAUUUCUUCAAGUGUUGUUCAUGUUUGAGCACGCUUUGUCCUUAAUUGCCUGGGGAUUUUUCGAUAGCCCUGUCUUUAGUGAUCUGAAACAAGUUGCAAUAUAAGUAAUUAAGGCACUGAGUAACAGAAGUCUACAAAUUGCUGUUUUGCUUCCAUGUGUGAUAUUUAACUAAUUGCUCAUUGCUGUGAAAACCUUUCACUUCAUAGAUGUCAUGACUUUAAAGUGAAUGAACAUUACCUUUAUAUUUAUUAAAAUAGUGUGGUGUAAUAAUGACUAUGGAAGCUCCCAAGUCUGUUGCAAGACUACCUGCUAGAUAGUUUCACCUCAGACUGUUGAGAUUAUCAUCAAUG
RNAcentral lists this long non-coding RNA (5167 nucleotides) under Sus scrofa (pig). Its description in RNAcentral is "lncRNA (ENSSSCG00000055060.1)". Lineage: Eukaryota; Metazoa; Chordata; Mammalia; Artiodactyla; Suidae. The record is from RNAcentral.